GUAGGUGGCAAGCGUUGUCCGGAAUUAUUGGGCGUAAAGCGCGCGCAGGCGGUUCUUUAAGUCUGAUGUGAAAGCCCACGGCUCAACCGUGGAGGGUCAUUGGAAACUGGAGAACUUGAGUACAGAAGAGGAAAGCGGAAUUCCACGUGUAGCGGUGAAAUGCGUAGAGAUGUGGAGGAACACCAGUGGCGAAGGCGGCUUUCUGGUCUGUAACUAACGCUGAGGCGCGAAAGCGUGGGGAGCAAACAGGGAUUAGAUACCCUGGUAGUCCACGCCGUAAACGAUGAGUGCUAAGUGUUAGGGGGUUUCCGCCCCCUUAGUGCUGCAGCUAACGCAUUAAGCACUCCGCCUGGGGAUACGGCCGCAAGGCUG
RNAcentral lists this ribosomal RNA (372 nucleotides) under uncultured organism. Its description in RNAcentral is "partial 16S ribosomal RNA". It matches the Rfam family "Bacterial small subunit ribosomal RNA", at positions 527 to 896 of the family's 1533-position model. The record is from RNAcentral.